UGGGGAAUAUUGCACAAUGGGCGCAAGCCUGAUGCAGCCAUGCCGCGUGUGUGAAGAAGGCCUUCGGGUUGUAAAGCACUUUCAGCGAGGAGGAAGGGUAGUGUGUUAAUAGCACAUUGCAUUGACGCUACUCGCAGAAGAAGCACCGGCUAACUCCGUGCCAGCAGCCGCGGUAAUACGGAGGGUGCAAGCGUUAAUCGGAAUUACUGGGCGUAAAGCGCACGCAGGCGGUUUGUUAAGUCAGAUGUGAAAUCCCCGCGCUUAACGUGGGAACUGCAUUUGAAACUGGCAAGCUAGAGUCUUGUAGAGGGGGGUAGAAUUCCAGGUGUAGCGGUGAAAUGCGUAGAGAUCUGGAGGAAUACCGGUGGCGAAGGCGGCCCCCUGGACAAAGACUGACGCUCAGGUGCGAAAGCGUGGGGAGCAAACA
This 427-nucleotide ribosomal RNA is filed under the name uncultured bacterium. Its description in RNAcentral is "partial 16S ribosomal RNA". It matches the Rfam family "Bacterial small subunit ribosomal RNA", at positions 355 to 774 of the family's 1533-position model. The record is from RNAcentral.